This 520-nucleotide ribosomal RNA is filed under the name uncultured Acaulospora. RNAcentral describes it as "SSU rRNA". It matches the Rfam family "Eukaryotic small subunit ribosomal RNA", at positions 569 to 1089 of the family's 1831-position model. Lineage: Eukaryota; Fungi; Glomeromycota; Glomeromycetes; Diversisporales; Acaulosporaceae. The record is from RNAcentral.
AGCAGCCGCGGUAAUUCCAGCUCCAAUAGCGUAUAUUAAAGUUGUUGCAGUUAAAAGCUCGUAGUUGAAUUUCGGGGUUUAUCCGUUGGUCGGGCUUUUUGGUCUGUACUGGCGUGAUGGAUUCCUACCUUCUGAAUAACCGGCAUGCCAUUAAUUUGGUGCGCCGGGGAAGCAGGACUGUUACCUUGAAAAAAUUAGAGUGCUUAAAGCAGGCUUAUGCCUGAAUACAUUAGCAUGGAAUAAUGAAAUAGGACGGCAUGGUUCUAUUUUGUUGGUUUCUAGGAUCACCGUAAUGAUUAAUAGGGAUAGUUGGGGGCAUUAGUAUUCAAUUGUCAGAGGUGAAAUUCUUGGAUUUAUUGAAGACUAACUUCUGCGAAAGCACUUGCCAAGGAUGUUUUCAUUAAUCAAGAACGAAAGUUAGGGGAUCGAAGACGAUCAGAUACCGUCGUAGUCUUAACCAUAAACUAUGCCGACUAGGGAUCGGACGAUGUUAAUUUUUUAAUGACUCGUUCGGCGCCUU